GACGAACGCUGGCGGCGUGCUUAACACAUGCAAGUCGAACGGAAAGGCCCUGCUUUUGUGGGGUGCUCGAGUGGCGAACGGGUGAGUAACACGUGAGUAACCUGCCCUUGUCUUUGUGAUAACUUUAGGAAACUGGGGCUAAUAUCGGAUAGGAGCUCCUGCUGCAUGGUGGGGGUUGGAAAGUUUCGGCGGUUGGGGCUGGACUCGCGGCUUAUCCGCUUGUUGGUGGGGUAGUGGCUUACCAAGGCUUUGACGGGUAGCCGGCCUGAGAGGCUUACCGGCCACAUUGGGACUGAGGUACGGACCAGACUGCUACGGGAGGCAGCAGUGGGAAAUAUUGCACAAUGGGCGGAAGCCUGAUGCAGCAGCGCCGCGUGCGGAAUGACGGCCUUCGGGUUAUAAACCGCUUUCGCCUGUGACGAAGCGUGAGUGACGGUAAUGGGUAAGGAAGCAACGGCUAACUACGUG
Molecule: ribosomal RNA, 468 nt
Filed under: uncultured bacterium
Lineage: Bacteria
Description: partial 16S ribosomal RNA
Rfam family: Bacterial small subunit ribosomal RNA
Source: RNAcentral